Molecule: long non-coding RNA, 99 nt
Organism: Sinocyclocheilus anshuiensis
Lineage: Eukaryota; Metazoa; Chordata; Actinopteri; Cypriniformes; Cyprinidae
Exons: 3
Source: RefSeq, a predicted model, not a curated record
UAUGGACACCAAAUAUGUUUUUUUUCUGAGGUAAAUGUGACGUUACCUGACAUCGUUUACAAGACGUUAUACUGACGUCUUUGCGCAGAGGAAAUACUG